RNAcentral lists this ribosomal RNA (498 nucleotides) under uncultured bacterium. RNAcentral's name for it is "partial 16S ribosomal RNA". It matches the Rfam family "Bacterial small subunit ribosomal RNA", at positions 28 to 508 of the family's 1533-position model. The record is from RNAcentral.
GAUGAACGCUGGCGGCGUGCCUAAUACAUGCAAGUCGAGCGAACGGACGAGAAGCUUGCUUUUCUGAUGUUAGCGGCGGACGGGUGAGUAACACGUGGAUAACCUACCUAUAAGACUGGGAUAACUUCGGGAAACCGGAGCUAAUACCGGAUAAUAUUUUGAACCGCAUGGUUCAAAAGUGAAAGACGGUCUUGCUGUCACUUAUAGAUGGAUCCGCGCUGCAUUAGCUAGUUGGUAAGGUAACGGCUUACCAAGGCAACGAUGCAUAGCCGACCUGAGAGGGUGAUCGGCCACACUGGAACUGAGACACGGUCCAGACUCCUACGGGAGGCAGCAGUAGGGAAUCUUCCGCAAUGGGCGAAAGCCUGACGGAGCAACGCCGCGUGAGUGAUGAAGGUCUUCGGAUCGUAAAACUCGGUUAUUAGGGAAGAACAUAUGUGUAAGUAACUGUGCACAUCUUGACGGUACCUAAUCAGAAAGCCACGGCUAACUACGUGC